Molecule: ribosomal RNA, 346 nt
Filed under: uncultured bacterium
Lineage: Bacteria
Description: partial 16S ribosomal RNA
Rfam family: Bacterial small subunit ribosomal RNA
Source: RNAcentral
CCUACGGGGGGCAGCAGUGGGGAAUAUUGGGCAAUGGUCGCAAGCCUGACCCAGCAACGCCGCGUGAAGGAAGAAGGCUUUCGGGUUGUAAACUUCUUUUGUCAGGGAAGAGUAGAAUACGGUACCUGACGAAUAAGCCACGGCUAACUACGUGCCAGCAGCCGCGGUAAUACGUAGGUGGCAGGUGUUGUCCGGAUUUACUGGGUGUAAAGGGCGUGUAGCCGGGUUGACAAGUCAGAUGUGAAAUCCUGCGGCUUAACCGCAGAACUGCAGUUGAACCCGUUGAUCUUGAGUACUGGAGAGGCCGACGGAAUGCGUAGUGUAGCGGUGAAAUGCGUAGAUAUUA